GAUGAACGCUAGCUACAGGCUUAACACAUGCAAGUCGAGGGGCAGCAUGGUCUUAGCUUGCUAAGGCCGAUGGCGACCGGCGCACGGGUGAGUAACACGUAUCCAACCUGCCGUCUACUCUUGGACAGCCUUCUGAAAGGAAGAUUAAUACAAGAUGGCAUCAUGAGUCCGCAUGUUCACAUGAUUAAAGGUAUUCCGGUAGACGAUGGGGAUGCGUUCCAUUAGAUAGUAGGCGGGGUAACGGCCCACCUAGUCUUCGAUGGAUAGGGGUUCUGAGAGGAAGGUACCCCACAUUGGAACUGAGACACGGUCCAAACUCCUACGGGAGGCAGCAGUGAGGAAUAUUGGUCAAUGGGCGCAGGCCUGAACCAGCAAAGUAGCGUGAAGGAUGACUGCCCUAUGGGUUGUAAACUUCUUUUAUAAAGGAAUAAAGUCGGGUAUGUAUACCCGUUUGCAUGUACUUUAUGAAUAAGGAUCGGCUAACUCCGUG
This 490-nucleotide ribosomal RNA is filed under the name uncultured bacterium. RNAcentral's name for it is "partial 16S ribosomal RNA". It matches the Rfam family "Bacterial small subunit ribosomal RNA", at positions 28 to 507 of the family's 1533-position model. The record is from RNAcentral.